AGCGCACACGGUGGAUGCCUUGGCGGUCAGAGGCGAUGAAGGACGUGGCAGCCUGCGAAAAGUAUCGGGGAGCUGGCAACAAGCUUUGAUCCGGUAAUGUCCGAAUGGGGAAACCCACCCGCUUGCGGGUAUCCUGCAGUGAAUACAUAGCUGCUGGAAGCGAACCUGGUGAACUGAAAUAUCUAAGUAACCAGAGGAAAAGAAAUCAACCGAGAUUCCGUAAGUAGCGACGAGCGAACGCGGACUAGCCCUUAAGCUGGAUUGGUUCUAGGAAAACGCUCUGGAAAGAGCGGCCAUAGAAGGUGAUAGCCCUGUAUCUGAAAGGGCCAUUCCAGUGAAGACGAGUAGGGCGGGGCACGUGAAACCCUGUCUGAACAUGGGGGGACCAUCCUCCAAGGCUAAAUACUACUGACCGACCGAUAGUGAACCAGUACCGUGAGGGAAAGGCGAAAAGAACCCCGGAGAGGGGAGUGAAAUAGAACCUGAAACCGUGUGCGUACAAGCAGUAGGAGCUCCGCAAGGAGUGACUGCGUACCUUUUGUAUAAUGGGUCAGCGACUUACUGUUCGUGGCAAGCUUAACCGUAUAGGGGAGGCGAAGGGAAACCGAGUCUGAUAAGGGCGCAUAGUCGCGGGCAGUAGACCCGAAACCGGGUGAUCUAGUCAUGCCCAGGGUGAAGGUGCGGUAACACGCACUGGAGGCCCGAACCCACUCCCGUUGCAAAGGUAGGGGAUGAGGUGUGAUUAGGAGUGAAAAGCUAAUCGAACCCGGAGAUAGCUGGUUCUCCUCGAAAGCUAUUUAGGUAGCGCCUCAUAUGUAUCCUCUCGGGGGUAGAGCACUGUUAUGGCUAGGGGGUCAUCGCGACUUACCAAACCAUUGCAAACUCCGAAUACCGAGACGGACUGUAUGGGAGACACACGGCGGGUGCUAACGUCCGUCGUGAAAAGGGAAACAACCCAGACCCACAGCUAAGGUCCCAAAUUCACUGCUAAGUGGAAAACCAUGUGGAAAGGCACAGACAGCCAGGAGGUUGGCUUAGAAGCAGCCACCCUUUAAAGAAAGCGUAAUAGCUCACUGGUCGAGUCGGUCUGCGGGGAAGAUUUAACGGGGCUAAGCAGUGAACCGAAGCUUGGGGUGCAUACUUUGUAUGCGCGGUAGAGGAGCGUUCCGUAAGCCGUUGAAGGUGGAUUGAGAAGUCUGCUGGAGGUAUCGGAAGUGCGAAUGCUGACAUGAGUAACGAUAAUGCGGGUGAAAAACCCGCACGCCGAAAGCCCAAGGUUUCCUUGCGCAACGUUAAUCGGCGCAGGGUGAGUCGGCCCCUAAGGCGAGGACGAAAGUCGUAGUCGAUGGGAAGCAGGUUAAUAUUCCUGCACCUCGCGUAAGUGCGAUGGAGGGACGGAGAAGGUUAGGUGUACCAGGCGUUGGUUGUCCUGGGGAAAGGCGGUAGGUUUGGAUCUUUGGCAAAUCCGGGAUCCUCUAAGACCGAGCACCGAGACGAGCCUUUAAGGCGAAGUCACUGAUACCACGCUUCCAGGAAAAGCUCCUAAGCUUCAGCUUACGCAGACCGUACCGUAAACCGACACAGGUGGGUAGGAUGAGAAUUCUCAGGCGCUUGAGAGAACUCGGGUGAAGGAACUAGGCAACAUGGCACCGUAACUUCGGGAGAAGGUGCACCCUUUUUGGUGGCUCGUGCGAGCUAUAGCUGAAGAGGGUCGCAGUAACCAGGCCGCUGCGACUGUUUAUCAAAAACACAGCACUCUGCAAACACGAAAGUGGACGUAUAGGGUGUGACGCCUGCCCGGUGCUGGAAGGUUAAUUGAUGGGGUCAGCCGCAAGGCGAAGCUCUUGAUCGAAGCCCCAGUAAACGGCGGCCGUAACUAUAACGGUCCUAAGGUAGCGAAAUUCCUUGUCGGGUAAGUUCCGACCUGCACGAAUGGCGUAACGACAGCGGCGCUGUCUCCACCCGAGACUCAGUGAAAUUGAAAUCGCUGUGAAGAUGCAGCGUUCCCGUGGCAAGACGGAAAGACCCCGUGAACCUUUACUAUAGCUUUACACUGAACGUUGAGUUCGUCUGUGUAGGAUAGGUGGGAGGCUAUGAAACCAUGGCGCUAGCUGUGGCGGAGCCAUCCUUGAAAUACCACCCUGUCGUGCUUGACGUUCUAACCUGGGCCCAUUAUCUGGGUCGGGGACCGUGUAUGGUGGGUAGUUUGACUGGGGCGGUCUCCUCCUAAAGAGUAACGGAGGAGCUCGAAGGUACGCUCAGCGCGGUCGGACAUCGCGCACUGUGUGCAAAGGCAUAAGCGUGCUUGACUGCAAGAUCGACGGAUCAAGCAGGUAGGAAACUAGGACUUAGUGAUCCGGUGGUUCUGUAUGGAAGGGCCAUCGCUCAACGGAUAAAAGGUACUCCGGGGAUAACAGGCUGAUACCGCCCAAGAGUUCAUAUCGACGGCGGUGUUUGGCACCUCGAUGUCGGCUCAUCACAUCCUGGGGCUGUAGUCGGUCCCAAGGGUAUGGCUGUUCGCCAUUUAAAGUGGUACGCGAGCUGGGUUCAGAACGUCGUGAGACAGUUCGGUCCCUAUCUGCCAUGGGCGUUGGAGAUUUGAGAGGGGCUGCUCCUAGUACGAGAGGACCGGAGUGGACGAACCUCUGGUGUUCCGGUUGUCACGCCAGUGGCAUUGCCGGGUAGCUAUGUUCGGAAGCGAUAACCGCUGAAAGCAUCUAAGCGGGAAGCGCGCCUCAAGAUGAGAUCUCCCGGGGCACAAGCCCCCUGAAGGAACCAUGUAGACUACGUGGUUGA
Molecule: ribosomal RNA, 2796 nt
Filed under: Stenotrophomonas maltophilia
Lineage: Bacteria; Pseudomonadati; Pseudomonadota; Gammaproteobacteria; Lysobacterales; Lysobacteraceae
Description: bacterial LSU rRNA
Rfam family: Bacterial large subunit ribosomal RNA
Source: RNAcentral